Molecule: ribosomal RNA, 739 nt
Filed under: uncultured beta proteobacterium
Lineage: Bacteria; Pseudomonadati; Pseudomonadota; Betaproteobacteria
Description: bacterial SSU rRNA
Rfam family: Bacterial small subunit ribosomal RNA
Source: RNAcentral
AUGCAAGUCGAACGGCAGCGCGGACUUCGGUCUGGCGGCGAGUGGCGAACGGGUGAGUAAUGUAUCGGAACGUGCCUAGUAGCGGGGGAUAACUACUCGAAAGAGUAGCUAAUACCGCAUACGCCCUACGGGGGAAAGGGGGGGAUCGCAAGACCUCUCACUAUUAGAGCGGCCGAUAUCGGAUUAGCUAGUUGGUGGGGUAAAGGCUCACCAAGGCGACGAUCCGUAGCUGGUUUGAGAGGACGACCAGCCACACUGGGACUGAGACACGGCCCAGACUCCUACGGGAGGCAGCAGUGGGGAAUUUUGGACAAUGGGGGAAACCCUGAUCCAGCCAUUCCGCGUGUGCGAUGAAGGCCUUCGGGUUGUAAAGCACUUUUGGCAGGAAAGAAAUCGCACGGGUUAAUAACCCGUGUGGAUGACGGUACCUGCAGAAUAAGCACCGGCUAACUACGUGCCAGCAGCCGCGGUAAUACGUAGGGUGCAAGCGUUAAUCGGAAUUACUGGGCGUAAAGCGUGCGCAGGCGGUUCGGAAAGAAGGAUGUGAAAUCCCAGGGCUUAACCUUGGAACUGCAUUCUUAACUACCGGGCUAGAGUAUGUCAGAGGGAGGUGGAAUUCCGCGUGUAGCAGUGAAAUGCGUAGAUAUGCGGAGGAACACCGAUGGCGAAGGCAGCCUCCUGGGAUAAUACUGACGCUCAUGCACGAAAGCGUGGGGAGCAAACAGGAUUAGAUACCCUG